Molecule: long non-coding RNA, 275 nt
Filed under: Nicotiana benthamiana
Lineage: Eukaryota; Viridiplantae; Streptophyta; Magnoliopsida; Solanales; Solanaceae
Description: long non-coding RNA (NBEN_LNC004708)
Source: RNAcentral
AAAGAAUUGGACCUGUAUUACUUCAAAUUUUCACUGUGUAGAGUGAAAGAAAAUUUCUGACGUGACAGACAAGACGAGCUACUGAUGCGAAUCUCGGAUCGGUGACGGAACCUCGGGAAAAAAAUGGCAACUUGCAAUCUUGAUCGACCACUUGUCUUACACCGAUGUCUACACUCCUCUCCUGCUAGAGAGGGAAGGUGAUUUAACAGAAAUUAAAUUCGAGCACUAGCGUAGCUGAUCCAGUUCACAACUAGUUUCUCCAAGCUUACCAGUCC